RNAcentral lists this ribosomal RNA (358 nucleotides) under Neobacillus bataviensis. Its description in RNAcentral is "bacterial SSU rRNA". It matches the Rfam family "Bacterial small subunit ribosomal RNA", at positions 562 to 918 of the family's 1533-position model. Lineage: Bacteria; Bacillati; Bacillota; Bacilli; Caryophanales; Bacillaceae. The record is from RNAcentral.
UAAGCGCGCGCAGGCGGUCCUUUAAGUCUGAUGUGAAAGCCCACGGCUCAUCCGUGGAGGGUCAUUGGAAACUGGGGGACUUGAGUGCACAAGAGGAAAGCGGAAUUCCACGUGUAGCGGUGAAAUGCGUAGAGAUGUGGAGGAACACCAGUGGCGAAGGCGGCUUUCUGGUCUGUAACUGACGCUGAGGCGCGAAAGCGUGGGGAGCAAACAGGAUUAGAUACCCUGGUAGUCCACGCCGUAAACGAUGAGUGCUAAGUGUUAGAGGCUUUCCGCCCUUUAGGGCUGCAGCUAACGCAUUAAGCACUCCGCCUGGGGAGUACGGCCGCAAGGCUGAAACUCAAAGGAAUUGACGGGG